Molecule: unclassified non-coding RNA, 348 nt
Filed under: soil metagenome
Description: partial contains 5.8S ribosomal RNA, internal transcribed spacer 2, and large subunit ribosomal RNA
Rfam family: 5.8S ribosomal RNA (bases 3-120)
Source: RNAcentral
GGUGAAGAACGCAGCGAAAUGCGAUAAGUAAUGUGAAUUGCAGAAUUCAGUGAAUCAUCGAAUCUUUGAACGCACAUUGCGCCCGCCAGUAUUCUGGCGGGCAUGCCUGUCUGAGCGUCAUUUCAACCCUCAAGCCCCUAGGGCGUGGUGUUGGGGAUCGGCCAAAGCCCGCGAGGGACGGCCGGCCCCUAAAUCUAGUGGCGGACCCGUCGUGGCCUCCUCUGCGAAGUAGUGAUAUUCCGCAUCGGAGAGCGAUGAGCCCCUGCCGUUAAACCCCCAACUUUCCAAGGUUGACCUCAGAUCAGGUAGGAAUACCCGCUGAACUUAAGCAUAUCAAUAAGCGGAGGA